GUAGCUGAAGGUACAGUAUGAAUAAGCACCGGCUAACUCCGUGCCAGCAGCCGCGGUAAUACGGAGGGUGCAAGCGUUAUCCGGAUUUAUUGGGUUUAAAGGGUCCGUAGGCGGAUCUGUAAGUCAGUGGUGAAAUCUCACAGCUUAACUGUGAAACUGCCAUUGAUACUGCAGGUCUUGAGUAAAGUAGAAGUGGCUGGAAUAAGUAGUGUAGCGGUGAAAUGCAUAGAUAUUACUUAGAACACCAAUUGCGAAGGCAGGUCACUAUGUUUUAACUGACGCUGAUGGACGAAAGCGUGGGGAGCGAACAGGAUUAGAUACCCUGGUAGUCCACNUAGCCACCUGGGGAGUACGUUCGCAAGAAUGAAACUCAAAGGAAUUGACGGGGGCCCGCACAAGCGGUGGAUUAUGUGGUUUAAUUCGAUGAUACGCGAGGAACCUUACCAAGGCUUAAAUGGGAAUUGACAGGUUUGGAAACAGACUUUUCUUCGGACAAUUUUCAAGGUGCUGCAUGGUUGUCGUCAGCUCGUGCCGUGAGGUGUUAGGUUAAGUCCUGCAACGAGCGCAACCCCUGUCACUAGUUGCCAUCAUUCAGUUGGGGACUCUAGUGAGACUGCCUACGCAAGUAGAGAGGAAGGUGGGGAUGACGUCAAAUCAUCACGGCCCUUACGCCUUGGGCCACACACGUAAUACAAUGGCCGGUACAGAGGGCAGCUACUAUGCGAAUAGAUGCGAAUCUCGAAAGCCGGUCUCAGUUCGGAUUGGAGUCUGCAACUCGACUCUAUGAAGCUGGAAUCGCUAGUAAUCGCGCAUCAGCCAUGGCGCGGUGAAUACGUUCCCGGGCCUUGUACACACCGCCCGUCAAGCCAUGGAAGUCUGGGGUACCUGAAGUCGGUGACCGUAACAGGAGCUGCCUAGGGUAAAACAGGUAACUAGGGCUAAGUCGUAACAAGGUAGCCGUACCGGAAGGUGCGGCUGGAACAUCUCAUUUUAGA
This 995-nucleotide ribosomal RNA is filed under the name Chryseobacterium sp. Leaf394. RNAcentral describes it as "bacterial SSU rRNA". It matches the Rfam family "Bacterial small subunit ribosomal RNA", at positions 465 to 1533 of the family's 1533-position model. The record is from RNAcentral. Lineage: Bacteria; Pseudomonadati; Bacteroidota; Flavobacteriia; Flavobacteriales; Weeksellaceae.